RNAcentral lists this unclassified non-coding RNA (344 nucleotides) under soil metagenome. Its description in RNAcentral is "partial contains 5.8S ribosomal RNA, internal transcribed spacer 2, and large subunit ribosomal RNA". The stretch from base 1 to 119 matches the Rfam family "5.8S ribosomal RNA", at positions 35 to 154 of the family's 154-position model. The record is from RNAcentral.
GAUGAAGAACGUAGCGAAAUGCGAUACGUAUGUGAAUUGCAGAAUUCAGUGAAUCAUCGAGUCUUUGAACGCACAUUGCGCCCUCUGGUAUUCCGGAGGGCAUGCCUGUCCGAGCGUCAUUGCUGCCCUCAAGCACGGCUUGUGUGUUGGGCCCCGCCCCCCGAUCCCGGGGGGCGGGCCCGAAAGGCAGCGGCGGCACCGCGUCCGGUCCUCGAGCGUAUGGGGCUUUGUCACCCGCUCUGUAGGCCCGGCCGGCGCCUGCCGAUCAACCAAACUUUUUUCCAGGUUGACCUCGGAUCAGGUAGGGAUACCCGCUGAACUUAAGCAUAUCAAUAAGCGGAGGA